Non-coding RNA from Geopyxis carbonaria, 99 nucleotides. The record is from the annotation of a GenBank genome assembly. NCBI's taxonomy places the organism in Eukaryota, Fungi, Ascomycota, Pezizomycetes, Pezizales, Tarzettaceae.
GUCAGAGUGUCCGAGUGGUUAAGGAGUUAGACUUGAACGUGCCCCGGCAACAGAUAUCUAAUGGCUUCGGCCGCGCAGGUUCAAAUCCUGUCUCUGACG